RNAcentral lists this long non-coding RNA (199 nucleotides) under Lathyrus oleraceus (garden pea). RNAcentral's name for it is "Pisum sativum (pea) long non-coding RNA (PSAT_LNC021052)". The record is from RNAcentral. Lineage: Eukaryota; Viridiplantae; Streptophyta; Magnoliopsida; Fabales; Fabaceae.
ACAUGUCAACUAACUUGGCAGAAGCAAUGAACUUGGUACUCAAAGAAACCUGAAACUUACCAAUCACUGCAUUGGUUUAGUCUACCUAUUAUCGAUUGGGAUCACUCUUUGGUAAAAUAGGCCAUCAGUGGACAAAAAUAUUGGCUUCUGGGCAAAUUUUCACAGAUAAUUGCAAUAAGGGAAUGGUUGAAGAAGUCAC